RNAcentral lists this ribosomal RNA (435 nucleotides) under uncultured bacterium. RNAcentral's name for it is "partial 16S ribosomal RNA". It matches the Rfam family "Bacterial small subunit ribosomal RNA", at positions 29 to 507 of the family's 1533-position model. The record is from RNAcentral.
AACGAACGCUGGCGGCAUGCCUAACACAUGCAAGUCGAACGAUUGCCUUCGGGUGAUAGUGGCGCACGGGUGCGUAACGCGUGGGAAUCUGCCCUUAGGUUCGGAAUAACAGCUGGAAACGGCUGCUAAUACCGGAUGAUAUCGCGAGAUCAAAGAUUUAUCGCCUGAGGAUGAGCCCGCGUUGGAUUAGGUAGUUGGUGGGGUAAAGGCCUACCAAGCCGACGAUCCAUAGCUGGUCUGAGAGGAUGAUCAGCCACACUGGGACUGACACACGGCCCAGACUCCUACGGGAGGCAGCAGUGGGGAAUAUUGGACAAUGGGCGCAAGCCUGAUCCAGCAAUGCCGCGUGAGUGAUGAAGGCCCUAGGGUUGUAAAGCUCUUUUACCCGGGAAGAUAAUGACUGUACCGGGAGAAUAAGCCCCGGCUAACUCCGUG